GACGAACGCUGGCGGCGUGCCUAAUACAUGCAAGUAGAACGCUGAAGAGAGGAGCUUGCUCUUCUUGGCUGAGUUGCGAACGGGUGAGUAACGCGUAGGUAACCUGCCUUGUAGCGGGGGAUAACUAUUGGAAACGAUAGCUAAUACCGCAUAACAAUGGAUGACACAUGUCAUUUAUUUGAAAGGGGCAAUUGCUCCACUACAAGAUGGACCUGCGUUGUAUUAGCUAGUAGGUGAGGUAAUGGCUCACCUAGGCGACGAUACAUAGCCGACCUGAGAGGGUGAUCGGCCACACUGGGACUGAGACACGGCCCAGACUCCUACGGGAGGCAGCAGUAGGGAAUCUUCGGCAAUGGGGGCAACCCUGACCGAGCAACGCCGCGUGAGUGAAGAAGGUUUUCGGAUCGUGAAGCUCUGUUGUAAGUCAAGAACGGGUGUGAGAGUGGAAAGUUCACACUGUGACGGUAGCUUACCAGAAAGGGACGGCUAACUACGUG
This 497-nucleotide ribosomal RNA is filed under the name uncultured bacterium. Its description in RNAcentral is "partial 16S ribosomal RNA". It matches the Rfam family "Bacterial small subunit ribosomal RNA", at positions 28 to 507 of the family's 1533-position model. The record is from RNAcentral.